CCUACGGGUGGCAGCAGUGAGGAAUAUUGGUCAAUGGGCGCGAGCCUGAACCAGCCAAGUCGCGUGAGGGAAGACGGUCCUAUGGAUUGUAAACCUCUUUUGUCGGGGAGCAAAAGACGCCACGCGUGGCGUUCCGAGAGUACCCGAAGAAAAAGCAUAGGCUAACUCCGUGCCAGCAGCCGCGGUAAUACGGAGGAUGCGAGCGUUAUCCGGAUGUAUUGGGUUUAAAGGGUGCGCAGGCGGAAGAUCAAGGCAGCGGUAAAAUUGAGAGGCUCAACCUCUUCGAGCCGUUGAAACUGGUUUUCUUGAGUGAGCGAGAAGUAUGCGGAAUGCGUGGUGUAGCGGUGAAAUGCAUCGAUAUCACGCAGAACUCCGCUUGCGAAGGCAGCAUACCGGCGCUCAACUGACGCUCAUGCACGAAAGUGUGGGUAUCGAACAGGAUUAGAUACCCCUGUAGUC
RNAcentral lists this ribosomal RNA (459 nucleotides) under uncultured bacterium. RNAcentral's name for it is "partial 16S ribosomal RNA". It matches the Rfam family "Bacterial small subunit ribosomal RNA", at positions 338 to 795 of the family's 1533-position model. The record is from RNAcentral.